RNAcentral lists this ribosomal RNA (460 nucleotides) under uncultured bacterium. RNAcentral's name for it is "partial 16S ribosomal RNA". It matches the Rfam family "Bacterial small subunit ribosomal RNA", at positions 338 to 795 of the family's 1533-position model. The record is from RNAcentral.
CCUACGGGGGGCAGCAGUGAGGAAUAUUGGUCAAUGGCCGUAAGGCUGAACCAGCCAAGUCGCGUGAAGGAAGAAGGAUCUAUGGUUUGUAAACUUCUUUUAUAGGGGAAUAAAGGUAUCCACGUGUGGAUAUUUGCAUGUACCCUAUGAAUAAGCAUCGGCUAACUCCGUGCCAGCAGCCGCGGUCAUACGGAGGAUGCGAGCGUUAUCCGGAUUUAUUGGGUUUAAAGGGAGCGGAGGUUGUUGUUUAAGUCAGCGGGGAAAGUUUGUGGCUCAACCAUAAAAUUGCCGUUGAAACUGGAAGACUUGAGUGUGUUUGAGGUAGGCGGAAUGCGUGGUGUAGCGGUGAAAUGCAUAGAUAUCACGCAGAACUCCGAUUGCGAAGGCAGCUUACUAAGCCAUAACUGACACUGAAGCACGAAAGCGUGGGGAUCAAACAGGAUUAGAUACCCCAGUAGUC